RNAcentral lists this ribosomal RNA (412 nucleotides) under uncultured bacterium. Its description in RNAcentral is "bacterial SSU rRNA". It matches the Rfam family "Bacterial small subunit ribosomal RNA", at positions 94 to 541 of the family's 1533-position model. The record is from RNAcentral.
AGCGGCGGACGGGUGAGUAAUGCGUGGGAAUAUGCCCUUUGGUAUGGAAUAGCCCCUGGAAACGGGGAGUAAUACCGUAUGUGCCCUACGGGGAAAAGAUUUAUCGCCAAAGGAUUAGCCCAUGUUGGAUUAGCUGGUUGGUGAGGUAAAAGCUCACCAAGGCGACGAUCUAUAGCUGGUUUGAGAGGAUGAUCAGCCACACUGGGACUGAGACACGGCCCAGACUCCUACGGGAGGCAGCAGUGGGGAAUAUUAGACAAUGGGCGAAAGCCUGAUCUAGCCAUGCCGCGUGAGUGAAGAAGGCCCUAGGGUUGUAAAGCUCUUUCAGAUGUGAGGAUGAUGACAGUAACAUCAGAAGAAGCCCCGGCUAACUUCGUGCCAGCAGCCGCGGUAAUACGAAGGGGGCUAGCGU